UACGAAGGGUGCAAGCGUUACUCGGAAUCACUGGGCGUAAAGCGUGCGUAGGCGGUUUCUUAAGUCUGUCGUGAAAGCCCUGGGCUCAACCUGGGAAUGGCGAUGGAUACUGGGAGGCUAGAGUGUGAUAGAGGAUGGUGGAAUUCCCGGUGUAGCGGUGAAAUGCGUAGAUAUCGAGAGGAACACCAGUGGCGAAGGCGAGUCCCUGGACACUUCCUGACACUGAGGCACGAAAGCUAGGGGAGCAAACAGG
This 253-nucleotide ribosomal RNA is filed under the name uncultured bacterium. RNAcentral's name for it is "partial 16S ribosomal RNA". It matches the Rfam family "Bacterial small subunit ribosomal RNA", at positions 524 to 776 of the family's 1533-position model. The record is from RNAcentral.